RNAcentral lists this ribosomal RNA (552 nucleotides) under uncultured organism. RNAcentral describes it as "SSU rRNA". It matches the Rfam family "Bacterial small subunit ribosomal RNA", at positions 505 to 1056 of the family's 1533-position model. The record is from RNAcentral.
GUGCCAGCAGCCGCGGUAAUACGUAGGGUGCGAGCGUUGUCCGGAAUUACUGGGCGUAAAGAGCUCGUAGGUGGUUUGUCGCGUUGUUCGUGAAAACUCACAGCUUAACUGUGGGCGUGCGGGCGAUACGGGCAGACUAGAGUACUGCAGGGGAGACUGGAAUUCCUGGUGUAGCGGUGGAAUGCGCAGAUAUCAGGAGGAACACCGGUGGCGAAGGCGGGUCUCUGGGCAGUAACUGACGCUGAGGAGCGAAAGCGUGGGGAGCGAACAGGAUUAGAUACCCUGGUAGUCCACGCCGUAAACGGUGGGUACUAGGUGUGGGUUCCUUCCUUGGGAUCCGUGCCGUAGCUAACGCAUUAAGUACCCCGCCUGGGGAGUACGGCCGCAAGGCUAAAACUCAAAGGAAUUGACGGGGGCCCGCACAAGCGGCGGGGCAUGUGGAUUAAUUCGAUGCAACGCGAAGAACCUUACCUGGGUUUGACAUGCACAGGACGCCGGCAGUAAUGUCGGUGCCCUUGUGGCCUGUGUGCAUGUCAUGCCAUNAGGGGCGAU